Regulatory RNA element from Orchesella cincta, 47 nucleotides. It matches the Rfam family "Histone 3' UTR stem-loop". Rfam says of the family: The mRNAs of metazoan histone genes lack a poly-A tail. 3' end processing occurs at a site between a highly conserved stem-loop (modelled by this family) and a purine rich region around 20 nts downstream (the histone downstream element, or HDE). The stem-loop is bound by a 31 kDa stem-loop binding protein (SLBP - also termed the histone hairpin binding protein, or HBP). The record is from Rfam. Lineage: Eukaryota; Metazoa; Arthropoda; Collembola; Entomobryomorpha; Orchesellidae.
CCAACGGCCCUUUUAAGGGCCACCAUACUUUUCAAAGAGCGAUUCAU